AUGAGAUGAUCGCAGCGGCUGUUUGUGUUUCCCUGCUUUCUUCAGUGAUGAGUUUGCGACCUCAGAAUAUAUUUAGAGAGAUAUUGAUUUGGUAAGAGUACGGUGUGAAGAAACAAGAGGUCCACAUGAGGUAUUCAAAACUCACGGAGGGGCGAACUUUCUCGCUGCAAAAGGUCAACAAAGGCUUUCAGAGGGAGGAAAUGCCGAACUCGCCCUUUUGGUGCCGAUGACGGUGUUGCUCCUGUUCAGAUGAGACUCAAAGCAAGAUCGAUCACUUUUUGUGGAUCAAGUUUUUGUUCUACCUAUGAAGACAUCGUUUGAGUUCACAUGCCAUUUGUGCAAAGAAAUACAAGGGACAAAACUUGUUGAGUGCAAUGAAGGAGUGAUUGAUUUACCAGAAUGCCAAGUUGUUUGCUGCAGCAUACAAGAGGCUGAGUUAAGAAAAAGAAACUUGAAGAUUCCUCUAAAUUUCCAGGAACAGGCUAGAUUUGUGGAGUGCUUGGGAUAUUGUUGUCACAUGCAAAAAGUGACCAGUCUUUGCCACAAAGGCAAGUAGCUCUUUCAAAGUUGCCAUUGGCCUCUUGGGAGCCUCUCUGAUCAGACUCCUCCUUGCUUGGUCA
RNAcentral lists this long non-coding RNA (620 nucleotides) under Eptatretus burgeri (inshore hagfish). RNAcentral's name for it is "lncRNA (ENSEBUG00000017506.1)". Lineage: Eukaryota; Metazoa; Chordata; Myxini; Myxiniformes; Myxinidae. The record is from RNAcentral.